This 478-nucleotide ribosomal RNA is filed under the name uncultured bacterium. RNAcentral describes it as "partial 16S ribosomal RNA". It matches the Rfam family "Bacterial small subunit ribosomal RNA", at positions 28 to 507 of the family's 1533-position model. The record is from RNAcentral.
GAUGAACGCUGGCGGCGUGCCUAAUACAUGCAAGUCGAGCGAACAGACGAGGAGCUUGCUCCUCUGACGUUAGCGACGGACGGGUGAGUAACACGUGGAUAACCUACCUAUAAGACUUGGAUAACUUCGGGAAACCGGAGCUACUACCGGAUAAUAUAUUGAACCGCAUGGUUCAAUAGUGAAAGACGGUUUUGCUGUCACUUAGGGAUGGAUCCGCGUCGUAUUAGCUAGUUGGUAGGGUAACAGCUUACCAAGGCAGCGAUGCGUAGCCGACCUGAGAGGGUGACCGGCCACAUUGGGACUGAGAUACGGCCCAGACGCCUACGGGAGGCAGCAGUGGGGAAUAUUGCACAAUGGGUGGAAGCCUGAUGCAGCAACGCCGUGUGCGGGAGGACGGCCUUCGGGUUGUAAACCGCUUUCGCUCAUGACGAAGCUUUGUGUGACGGUAGUGGGUAAAGAAGCACCGGCUAACGACGUG